RNA transcript from Anolis carolinensis (green anole), 3380 nucleotides. RefSeq lists it as uncharacterized. The record is from RefSeq and is a predicted model, not a curated record. NCBI's taxonomy places the organism in Eukaryota, Metazoa, Chordata, Lepidosauria, Squamata, Anolidae. The transcript is spliced from 2 exons.
GUCAGAGUAAUUUGUUGAUAUUUAUUUAUUUACAGCAUUUAUAUUCCGCCCUUCUUUCUCACCCCGAAGGGGACUCAGGGCGGAUCACAUGACACAUAUAGGCAAACAUUCAAUGCCUUUUAACCUAGAACAAAGACAAACAAACAGGCUCCGAGCGGGCCUCGAACUCGUGACCUCCUGGUCAGAGUGAUUCAUUGCAGUUAAUUGCAGCUGGCUUGCUUUCCAGCCUGCGCUGUUGGAUAAUAAGGAGGCAUUAUGGAAAAGCCUAUUAAACAUCAAAUUAGUUGAUGAUUUUACAAAUUAAGCACCAAAACAUCAUUUGACAGAAAAAGUAGUUCAAUACGCAGUAAUGCUAUGUAGUAAUUACUGUAUUUACGGAUUUAGCACCAAAAUAUCACAACGCAUUGAAAACAUGGACUACAAAAAUGCGUUGGAUAAUCCAGAAUGUUGGAUAAUCCAGAAUGUUGGAUGAGACUACUGUAUAUACAAUAUAAAUUAGAAUAGCAUGUUAUUGGGGGAGGAGCAUCUUGGUUAUUAGAUGUUUAUAUUAGUUAUUGAUAUUAGUAUAGAUAUGACAUUGAGUAUAUUAUUAUCCUAGCACAAUGUUAAUAUUAGUUAUUCAUAUUAGUCUCAAUAUGACAUUAAUAGAGUAUAUUAUUAUCCUAGCACAAUGUUAUUACAUAGGACUAUGUUGUUGCUAGGGGGAGGGCCCUCCCACUGAGAUCCCCUGUCAUUAAUGUGUCAGACCAGGCAUUUCACUCCUAUCUUUGCAUCAGAAAGCAGGCUCCCUGUGCGCUAGGCCUUCCUUUGAGGAACACAUUCACGGCUCCGCUUGAGUGUGGCAUUGAGGCCCCACUCGGGGACGGGCGGGUCCUCCCUUUGCCCUGGGCAGAUCGUGGGGGGUGGGCGGAUCUCCCUAGACGGGCAGGGGGUCGCGGCUGGCGGGACAGCGGGAUAUAAAAAUAUAAAUAUAUAUAUUAAAACCCUUGCACCCAAGGAAACAACUCUGGGGACCCGAGUGGCCGCUCCCAGCGCACGUCACGGGCAUUUUAAACAUCUCGUAGCAGCUCAGAUUAAUACCUGAACUAACCUUAACCUGCUAACCCUACUAACCCAAUUCUUAACUAGAGCAGCACUUGUAAAUAGGGCUGUUUUUGCCUGUUGGCAAGAACCAAGUUGGGAGGGGGCCUCCGGGCCUCGGGUGGGAAGAAGGCCCCCCUGUCCCUGCCCUGCGCUGGGAGCGCCCCCCCUCGGGACCCCAGUGUUUAGGUCGCCGGAUUGGAGGAGAGCGGGGACCAGAAAGCCCCUCCGCCAUCCGCCCAGGGCCAAUGGACGCCCCUCCCUCCCUCCCCGGCAGCCGCGUUCCUCAUGCAACAGGGAGCCUGGUUCUGGAUGCAAACGUGGGACCCCCUUAGGACCCCCUUUUCUCUGUGCAGGGACCCCCACUCCCCAUAAAUAAAUGCCUGGUGGAAGGGGAUCCUCUGUCCUGGGGAGAAAAAGCGACAUGCGUCAAGCUGUGGCUUUGCUCCCGCAGUUCCCAAGAGCCCCCAAAAGCGAGAUGCUCCCUUGGUUCUGCCCUUCUGACACUUGUUUUCUCCCUUGUUCCAUGUCUCCGGAAUCGCUGAGGGAGGGGCUCCUCCUGGACAAGAGCCACGGACGGACAGACGGACGGACGGAGAUCACGGAGAGCAGGACGCCUUGCCUUUCCGGAUGCUGAGCUCGACCCCUUUCCAACAAUGUCAGCGUUUAAGAAUAAAACUUCCCAAAAAAAGGUGUUUUCUGGUUAUUAUUCAAACAUUGAAUUUUUGGCAGCCUUAAACAUCUAGAUUACAAUACAGUUUGUGCUGCUGCAUUUUACAAACCUGACCUUGUUUUCUACAAAUAAAAUUGAGAGAAACACCUGUGUAAGUUUUGCACUAGGCUCAGACUCAUUGUUCUGAUAGGCUGUUAUAUGGUUAUUGAAAGGCAUAAUGUUUUUGGCAGCAUUAAACAUCUAGAUUACAAUACAGUUUGUGCUGCUGCCUUUUAUAAACCUCGUUUUCUACAAAUAAAGUCAAGAGAAACACUAAGUUUUGCACUGUGCUCAGACUCAUUGUUCUGAUAGGCUGUUAUAUGGUUAUUAUUGAAAGGCAUAAUGAGUUUUUGGCAGCAUGAAACAUAUAGAUUACAAUACACUUUGUGCUGCUGCCUUUUAUAAAUCUUUUUUUAUACAAAUAAAGUUGAGAGAAACACCUGUAUAAGUUUUGCACUCAUUGUUCUGAUAUUCUGUUAUAUGGUUUUAUUGUUAAUAUUGUUUUUAAUGUAUGACUUUAUUACAUGUGACAUGGGAGCAGGAUAUAAAAAUGAAGUAUUAUUAAUAAACACUACAAUUUUCUUGCACCCCAAGUACAUCUGGCCAUUGCCAAAAAGUAUUUAACUCUGCCUACAUGGCACUAAAGUGUAUUUUAUAUGUUGAUUUGUUUCUAUUGAUUGUAUGUAAUGUUUGCUUUAUUUGCAUUGAAUUUUUGCCUAGAUGUAUCUUGUAUGCCGCUCAUCUCCAUAAAUGAGCGGGAUACAAAUGAGGUUAAUAAUAAUGUUACGAAUGUUUUAAUGUAACUCGAAUUUUAAAUUGAAUUGAAAUGUGAUUGUAAUUGUUUAUAAGUGUGUUAUCUAUUUGUCAGCCACCCUGAGUCUCCCCUUAUUGGGUGAGAAGGUCUGGGAAGAAAUACUGUCAUAAAUAAAUAAAAUAUUCUGUGUCCAGGUUGCUUCAUGGGUUGACUUCUCUGGCAGGAUUAGUCUGCAGGGCCUUUCCUGUGGGAAAGUUUACACGGACUACCAAGCAUGGAGCAGGGAAGGCACUGCAGACACUCCUGCGCAUGCGCGGCCUGCUCCCUAUUCGUAGGAACCUGGCCCCGCCCACUACAGGCAUUUUCUCUUCGACUGCGCGGCCUCCAUAUUUGAGGGAACUUGACCCCGCCCACUACAGGCACCCCUUUCCCUUCUGCGUCUGCGCGGCCUCUUCCGUAUUUAAGGGAACUUGGCCCCGCCCACUACAGGCCCCCUUUCCCUUCUGCGUCUGCGCGGCCUCCGUCACAGGGCGGCAAGAUGGUUUCCCGGCCCGCAGUGGCCCAUGUACAUGCUGGACUACGGCGGCCUCAAUGUUCCGCUUCCGGGAGCCAUGAAUUAUUCGGACCUCAGUUUCUGAACCAGAACCUCCGAACAAAAGAAAACAAAAGAAAUAAUGAACAGUGUGUAAUUUUCGUUUGUACAAAGUGUAUAUUAUUCCAAUAUGUAUUGAUGCCUUUCAGUUUUUCCAAUGAUUUUUACACUAUAUUCCUGCCGCCAGGGCCUUUUUAAAUAAAAAAAGAAUAAGAAGGGUUGCCUUGCUCUGAAAAAUCAAA